This 466-nucleotide ribosomal RNA is filed under the name uncultured bacterium. Its description in RNAcentral is "partial 16S ribosomal RNA". It matches the Rfam family "Bacterial small subunit ribosomal RNA", at positions 28 to 507 of the family's 1533-position model. The record is from RNAcentral.
GAUGAACGCUGGCGGCGUGCUUAACACAUGCAAGUCGAACGAUGAAGCCCUGCUUGCUGGGUGGGUUUGUGGCGAACGGGUGUGUAACACGUGAGUAACCUGCCCUUAACUCUGGGAUAAGCCUGGGAAACUGGGUCUAAUACCGGAUAGGAGCGCCUACCGCAUGGUGGGUGUUGGAACGCUUUAUCGGUUUUGGAUGGACUCGCGGCCUAUCAGCUUGUUGGUGAGGUAAUGGCUCACCAAGGCGACGACGGGUAGCCGGCCUGAGAGGGUGACCGGCCACACUGGGACUGAGACACGGCCCAGACUCCUACGGGAGGCAGCAGUGGGGAAUAUUGCACAAUGGGCGAAAGCCUGAUGCAGCGACGCCGCGUGGGGGAUGACGGCCUUCGGGUGGUAAACCUCUUUCGGUAGGGAAGAAGCGAAAGUGACGGUACCUGCAGAAGAAGCACCGGCUAACUACGUG